Gossypium arboreum is the source of this 330-nucleotide long non-coding RNA. RefSeq lists it as uncharacterized. NCBI's taxonomy places the organism in Eukaryota, Viridiplantae, Streptophyta, Magnoliopsida, Malvales, Malvaceae. The record is from RefSeq and is a predicted model, not a curated record. The transcript has 2 exons.
GAGUAAAGGUACCCUUCUUGGCUGAUCCCUUUCGCUUUGUGGCGUGCUCGGUUGGGUUGGGCGCCGGCUAAGAGUGCUCGGAGCGUGGAUUAACUCCAGUCUCCAAUCAGGUAAUUUCCAGCCUUAGACGGAUCGGAGCUGCGAGGGGCUCGGAGGAACUCACACACAUUGUUUAUCUUACAGUUUUGAUUAUUACUUUUAAAUGUUUUUAUGUGGGUUGUAGUAAAGCCGUUGUAAUUUUCUGAAUUUCAAAUUUGGAAUUUUAUUUAUUGUUCUUAUAAUUGCUAGUGUUAGAACACGGUUUUCCAAAGCAACUACUGUUGUUCAAAA